GGGAUCUUCGGCAAUGGGGGCAACCCUGACCGAGCAACGCCGCGUGAGUGAAGAAGGUUUUCGGAUCGUAAAGCUCUGUUGUAAGAGAAGAACGUGUGUGAGAGUGGAAAGUUCACACAGUGACGGUAACUUACCAGAAAGGGACGGCUAACUACGUGCCAG
RNAcentral lists this ribosomal RNA (162 nucleotides) under uncultured bacterium. Its description in RNAcentral is "partial 16S rRNA". It matches the Rfam family "Bacterial small subunit ribosomal RNA", at positions 358 to 511 of the family's 1533-position model. The record is from RNAcentral.